Molecule: long non-coding RNA, 308 nt
Filed under: Malus domestica (apple)
Lineage: Eukaryota; Viridiplantae; Streptophyta; Magnoliopsida; Rosales; Rosaceae
Description: long non-coding RNA (MDOM_LNC013544)
Source: RNAcentral
UUUAUGUGGUAGAUGAUCUUUGGCUUUGAUAGUGGAUGAAUCGGCACGUAUUUGUUUUUGCGCUUUGUUGACUUUCCAUAGCUUUGAUCUUGAACUAGGUUGGAGGAUUUUUUUGGAUUCCUCCAAUUGUUGAUUUUCCACAGCUUAUUCUUGAACUGGAUUUGAUUCAAAUAUGGUGGACACUUGAUCUUGAAUCGGACUUGUGAUUUCCUCAAGGGCCGUCGAGGCUUGAUCUUGAAUUUGGCCGGAAACUUCUUCAAGGGCCGUUGAUGCUUGAUUCUUGAUGGUUGACUCGAACACAUGGCAAG